GAUGAACGCUGGCGGUAUGCUUAACACAUGCAAGUCGAACGGACUCUUCGGAGUUAGUGGCGGACGGGUGAGUAACGCGUGAGAAUCUGGCUUUGGGUUCGGGACAACCACUGGAAACGGUGGCUAAUACCGGAUGUGCCGAGAGGUAAAAGAGAAAUUGCCUGAAGAUGAGCUCGCGUCUGAUUAGCUAGUUGGUGAGGUAAAGGCUCACCAAGGCAGCGAUCAGUAGCUGGUCUGAGAGGAUGACCAGCCACACUGGGACUGAGACACGGCCCAGACUCCCGAGGGAGGGAGGCGGGGGGGAUUUUCCGGAAUGGGGGGAAGCCUGACGGGGCAAUUCCGGGGGAGGAAAGAAGGCUUUUGGUGUUUAAACCUCUUUUUUUAGGGAAAAACAAAAUGGCGGGACCCUAAGAAACCGCACCCGCUAACCCCG
This 433-nucleotide ribosomal RNA is filed under the name uncultured bacterium. Its description in RNAcentral is "partial 16S ribosomal RNA". It matches the Rfam family "Bacterial small subunit ribosomal RNA", at positions 28 to 505 of the family's 1533-position model. The record is from RNAcentral.